UGAUCCAGCACGCCGCGUGGAGGAAGAGGCCUUCGGGUCGUAAACUCCUGUCGUGUGGGACGAAACGCGAGGGUCAAUAUCCCUCGCGGUUGACGGUACCUCCACAGGAAGCCCCGGCUAACUCCGUGCCAGCAGCCGCGGUAAUACGGAGGGGGCGAGCGUUAUUCGGAAUUAUUGGGCGUAAAGGGCGCGCAGGCGGCCUGGCAAGUCUGGGGUGAAAUCCCUCGGCUCAACCGAGGAAUUGCCUUGGAUACUGGCGGGCUCGAGUGCGGGAGGGGAUAGUGGAAUUCCCAGUGUAGCGGUGAAAUGCGUAGAUAUUGGGAGGAACACCAGUGGCGAAGGCGGCUAUCUGGACCGGUUCUGACGCUGAGGCGCGAAAGCGUGGGUAGCAAACAGGAUUAGAUACCCUGGUAGUCCACGCUGUAAACGAUGAGUGCUCGGUGCUGCGGGUAUCGACCCCUGCAGUGCCUUAGCUAACGCGUUAAGCACUCCGCCUGGGGAGUACGGUCGCCAAGGCUGAAACUCAAG
This 528-nucleotide ribosomal RNA is filed under the name uncultured Acidobacteriota bacterium. RNAcentral's name for it is "bacterial SSU rRNA". It matches the Rfam family "Bacterial small subunit ribosomal RNA", at positions 384 to 905 of the family's 1533-position model. Lineage: Bacteria; Pseudomonadati; Acidobacteriota. The record is from RNAcentral.